CCUACGGGAGGCUGCAGUGGGGAAUAUUGCACAAUGGGCGCAAGCCUGAUGCAGCCAUGCCGCGUGUGUGAAGAAGGCCUUCGGGUUGUAAAGCACUUUCAGCGGGGAGGAAGGCGGUGAGGUUAAUAACCUCAUCGAUUGACGUUACCCGCAGAAGAAGCACCGGCUAACUCCGUGCCAGCAGCCGCGGUAAUACGGAGGGUGCAAGCGUUAAUCGGAAUUACUGGGCGUAAAGCGCACGCAGGCGGUCUGUCAAGUCGGAUGUGAAAUCCCCGGGCUCAACCUGGGAACUGCAUUCGAAACUGGCAGGCUAGAGUCUUGUAGAGGGGGGUAGAAUUCCAGGUGUAGCGGUGAAAUGCGUAGAGAUCUGGAGGAAUACCGGUGGCGAAGGCGGGCCCCUGGACAAGGACUGACGCUCAGGUGCGAAAGCGUGGGGAGCAAACAGGAUUAGAUACCCGUGUAGUC
RNAcentral lists this ribosomal RNA (465 nucleotides) under uncultured Klebsiella sp. Its description in RNAcentral is "bacterial SSU rRNA". It matches the Rfam family "Bacterial small subunit ribosomal RNA", at positions 338 to 795 of the family's 1533-position model. Lineage: Bacteria; Pseudomonadati; Pseudomonadota; Gammaproteobacteria; Enterobacterales; Enterobacteriaceae. The record is from RNAcentral.